This 73-nucleotide transfer RNA is filed under the name Apaloderma vittatum (bar-tailed trogon). It matches the Rfam family "tRNA". From Rfam's summary of the family: Transfer RNA (tRNA) molecules are approximately 80 nucleotides in length. Lineage: Eukaryota; Metazoa; Chordata; Aves; Trogoniformes; Trogonidae. The record is from Rfam by way of RNAcentral.
GGCCGGUUAGCUCAGUCAGUAGAGCAUAGCGCUAACAACGCUAAGGUCGCGGGUUCGAUUCCCGUUUGGUCCU